This 21-nucleotide non-coding RNA is filed under the name Caenorhabditis elegans. Lineage: Eukaryota; Metazoa; Nematoda; Chromadorea; Rhabditida; Rhabditidae. The record is from RNAcentral.
UUAAUAAAAAAGUUAUUCAUA